AUACGUAGGGUGCAAGCGUUAUCCGGAAUUAUUGGGCGUAAAGGGCUCGUAGGCGGUUCGUCGCGUCCGGUGUGAAAGUCCAUCGCUUAACGGUGGAUCUGCGCCGGGUACGGGCGGGCUGGAGUGCGGUAGGGGAGACUGGAAUUCCCGGUGUAACGGUGGAAUGUGUAGAUAUCGGGAAGAACACCAAUGGCGAAGGCAGGUCUCUGGGCCGUUACUGACGCUGAGGAGCGAAAGCGUGGGGAGCGAACAGGAUUAGAUACCCUGGUAGUCCACGCCGUAAACGGUGGAUGCUGGAUGUGGGGCCCGUUCCACGGGUUCCGUGUCGGAGCUAACGCGUUAAGCAUCCCGCCUGGGGAGUACGGCCGCAAGGCUAAAACUCAAAGAAAUUGACGGGGGCCCGCACAAGCGGCGGAGCAUGCGGAUUAAUUCGAUGCAACGCGAAGAACCUUACCUGGGCUUGACAUGUUCCCGACCGCGGCAGAGAUGUCGUUUCCCUUCGGGGCGGGUUCACAGGUGGUGCAUGGUCGUCGUCAGCUCGUGUCGUGAGAUGUUGGGUUAAGUCCCGCAACGAGCGCAACCCUCGCCCUGUGUUGCCAGCACGUCAUGGUGGGAACUCACGGGGGACCGCCGGGGUCAACUCGGAGGAAGGUGGGGAUGACGUCAGAUCAUCAUGCCCCUUACGUCCAGGGCUUCACGCAUGCUACAAUGGCCGGUACAACGGGAUGCGACACGGCGACGUGGAGCGGAUCCCUGAAAACCGGUCUCAGUUCGGAUUGGAGUCUGCAACCCGACUCCAUGAAGGCGGAGUCGCUAGUAAUCGCGGAUCAGCAACGCCGCGGUGAAUGCGUUCCCGGGCCUUGUACACACCGCCCGUCAAGUCAUGAAAGUGGGUAGCACCCGAAGCCGGUGGCCUAACCCUUUGUGGAUGGAGCCGUCUAAGGUGAGACUCGUGAUUGGGACU
RNAcentral lists this ribosomal RNA (964 nucleotides) under uncultured bacterium. RNAcentral describes it as "bacterial SSU rRNA". It matches the Rfam family "Bacterial small subunit ribosomal RNA", at positions 523 to 1482 of the family's 1533-position model. The record is from RNAcentral.